Molecule: long non-coding RNA, 3593 nt
Organism: Triticum aestivum (bread wheat)
Lineage: Eukaryota; Viridiplantae; Streptophyta; Magnoliopsida; Poales; Poaceae
Exons: 5
Source: RefSeq, a predicted model, not a curated record
AGUCUGCUCCUCGCGUGCGACGUGCGUCCUAGGACCGCCCAAUUCCCGAGCCCGCACCCCUCCUUCCUCCUCUCUCCCUUGUCAGCCGCCACAGCAAGAACCGUAGCCCCCUUCCAUAGAUCCCCAUUGCCGCCGCCCCUCCCGCAUCUGUUCUCUCCUUCCUCUCUCCGUUGUAAGCCGCCGCUACAACUCCUCCCUUCCCCGUCUUUGUCCGUGCAGCCGACCAACUUAGCUCCGCCCGAAGAUCGCUGCCUCCCCAGUUCAUCAUCCCUCCCUUGCUGCUCUGCUUUCACCAGGGAUGGACGAAUCCAUGCACCCCCUCGCCUAGAACCGCUAGGUGAAGAACAUGGACGAGCGUGAGGGUCGGAGGCAGCCACCAGGCGACGGAUCUGGCGCGGGGUUACGGGUUUCAAGACCCUCGUGGUUGACAUCCUCUUCGCUUCUUCCUCGUGCUGCUGCAUCCCCUCGGUUCUUCCCCUGUAUAAUGUGAUGCAGAUUACUUGUGAUUUUCGGCAUAAUCAACUUGUCAAGGAGUGGUGUCAAUGGAAGCCGUGACAGUCAUUCUGGUGACAUAUGCACAUCAGGUUCUAGAAUUAAGUUGUCCUACUAGGAAAUUUUCUACAAAAGGUUUGCAUGUUCAGUCAAUGGGAAAUUGGUAGCAACUUUCCUGCACUUUUUGGAUGCAUAGCUUUGAUAGUUUUGCUUGCGGUGCCUAAAUUACAGCCUGCCAAUGGCGUGGAGUUUAGGUAGCUAGCCCAUGCAUUGGGAAGAGUUUGGGCGGGUCGCGGUUGAUAUCGGACCUGUAAAUGAAGAAAUUUUCAUUGCAAUGGGCAUAAUUAAUGUUGUGGUGGGGCUUAGUUGCACGCUCGUUGGUCUGCCCAGGGCGAAGGAGUUCACCGUGGUGGACACGCCACUCCUGGAGCGGCUCUUCUUGUUCCUGCCGCCUAAUGGUGUGGUGGGGCUUAGGAUCGCUUGUGCUCCCAACCUGCGGGUGCUCGCCUACUAGACACAAGAGCUUGCAUGCUACAGAUUGGUGUCAGCAUCAUUGGGGCACAUCUCUUGGGUCUACAUCUCUCUUGCAACUUGAAAUUAUUCCAUUGACAUUGAUCCAACCACCAUGUUCUUCUUUGUGAUUAGAAAACUAUCAAUGACUUGUGAUAAUAAUGUUGCUUUAGCUGUAUCUCAUUGCAGUCUCUAAAAAUUAUUCCAGUAAUCCCUCUUCUUCUCUUCUCUUCCAGUAACUAUCAAUACCUAGUGGUGAGUUCAGUGGUUGCCGCCUCCUCUUCUCUUCGAAUCCAGUAAUCCCUCUCGUGAGUGCAUCAGGGGAUGUCGUGCCCUCGACUACGGUGAAGCACCAGGUCCACUUGAGCUCCUCCUUCAACCUGCGUGUGUGAUUUCUUCUUUUUCCAUGAAUGCACACAUUUGAAGCUUUUUUUGGUUCCCUCAUCUAGAUUUCUUCUGAAGUGUGCAGAUUGUUAUUCCAUAUCAGGGAGGAGAAUAUUCGUUUGAAGGACUCAUUAGGCCCAUAAUAUUUAGCUUGUAAUUUCUAUGAUUCAUCCAUAUGUCUAAUUCUAACCUUACAGAUCAACCUAUCUCUCCACCCUUCUAAAUCUGGCGCUGCUACAUUUCAAAAUCUCGUAUGUAUGAGAUUUAUUCUUUUAGGUAUAUUUCUACUUGAAAGAAGUUCACAUUUAUUUUCUUAUUAGAUGAGCCUGCUUCCGUUUGCUGGCUAUACGUAGGUUGCAGAAAUGAGAAUACUUAUGAUAUCACAUGAAUGAGAUGUUGAUGCCCUGUAUGCUCCAAAAUUGUAUCAUUAAUCCCACACAAUGGUUAGAAACCCAGUCGUUGACUCACAAUAGACAAGACCAUAUUUCACAUUUUGUGUAGUCCAACAAAUAAUACAGAUGGACCCUGGUGAUGGUUUUCCAUAUACUGUGAUAGUAGUUUCCUGCAUUGAUUAUUUAUUGAGCCACCCUUCCGUUUUCAACUCGAAUCGGUGCAAUAGUUAAAUAGAUGUAUUCUUGUCAUUUAGCCCCAAAAUUCAGUUCAGUUUGGAUCUACAUCUUUUGCCGACCCCUUUUCUUGGUACUGAUUGACCUUUUUGUGUUAAUAUUUUUAUUUGACUGCAUUUUUUUCUUUAGUCCUUCCUCUUAGUGUAUAAUCCUGAUUGUGCAGGUUUCUUUCCUGGCAGCGAAUUUAUGAUUCAGACCAUUCCAUAACAAAAUGCAUAUAUGGCCUCACAGUCGGAGUUUAGCUUCAGACUGUCAUCAAAUCAUCUUACAAAAUGUAAGUAUAGAGGAAUUAAUAUAUAGAGGUUAUGACCAUCAUGUAGAGUGAUCUCUGAAGAUGGAUUGCAGAUAAGUAGAUUAACAAUUUAGUACUGACCCUAUUUCUGUUGAUACUUUAUUUUACUAGAUCUUUCGUAUUAACCAUAAGCAUAAAGGAUAUCAUGUUGGGUUGCAUUGCCAUGUAAGGAAUGGAUAUCCUAAACCUGAGAAAGUACCAACGCAGAUUAUAGUUUCUUAGGAAUAUCAUCGUGUAGUUACAGCAAAGAUGGCAAGCUGUAGCACCUUCUAUAGUUCAGUUUACUAUUAGGGAUAUCAUUCAAUCUUUGAACUAUGUAUUACUGUUAUAAAUUUGGCUAGGGAAUCUGUCUCAUUUUAAUAUUUCAAUGAAGUGGUUGGGAUGGAGAGGGUUUUUUACUUGACUACUUUCUGACUAUAUACCUUUCUGUUUUGUGCAAGUACAAAGUAUUAGUAAUUUUGGUCUGUCCAAUUUUUGCAGGGAUAAUUGUGUGAGUCUGGUCCAAACUUUAAGACAAUCACUUAAUACAUUUAUGGGAUCACCAACUUCUGGCGUUUGUUGAGACUAGCUAGGUGGGACCAUGAAUUCCAAGAAGAUUGUGGUAAUUAUCCUACUUUGUUUGCAAGAUUGGUUUCUAAAAAUAUCAUGGUAGUUAUAAUUUCAGAUUGCUGCUGAUUUGACUGAAUAUGUUUUGAUGGCUUUUAAGCUUUCAUUCUUUACUGUGUGUAAAAGUAACUAAUUCAUUCCUAAUUGAAUCUUUCAAUGGUUGAUGGGAACACUACAGAUCUUGCUUCUCUGCUUUUUAAUGUUUCAUAUGUUUUCAUGUACAAACCGAGGCGUGCGGGCACCAUGUGUUUCUAUCCCAGGUGCUAAAAUCUUAUGUGCCAAGGGCAUUGUGAUGGCGCGAUGCAUAUCUCAUGCAAGUGCUAGACAUCCCAUAGCCCCAAAGAGGAGGGCUCCAAGGUUGGACAGCAAGCUUCACUGGAUGAAAGCAUUUCCCUUCUAAAACAGAGUGUUGCUGACAUGAAUGCACAAGUUAGUCUUGAUACUAAGAUGGUCAUGGAAUUGCUUGAUCUAUGCUAGGUCAACAUGUUAGCCAACCACUUAAAAAUAAUCAAUUGCAUUUCUUCCUCUGAAAUGUGAAACCUGAUGAGUGAUGACGCAUCAGCAAUUUAGCAAUAGAAGAUGUCAGUGAACACGAGUGCCCAGUCAAAAGCAAUGAAACGCUAGAUACUUUAGAGUGUAAUUUUAUAUAAGAAUAAAUAAAUGACACUCAAGUAAUUAAGCAA